AACCUUGAGCAGCUUCAGAGAAGACCCCAGACCUUUCCCUAGCCUGCAAGCUGUGCGGUUUCAGCUGUGCUGUUUCCUGAGUUGCUGCCUGAGCUGAUGUGGGUUCUGCAGGGAGGCAGCUGCUGUGAAUCCGUUCCGGCUCCUGGAUCCCUCUGGGCACUGUGGCUCUGGUCCUCCCUCCCUGGGAACCAUGCUCCCCAUCGCGCUUGGGCACUUGGAACACUCGUACUGUGAAUUGAGAGGGAGGACACUGUUGUCCUGGGCUCCCACACCAAGCGGACCCUUCACCACACUCAACACCAGCUGUGGCAGCUGCACCUUCAGCAACUCUUGGCAACAGAAUCAGGAGAGAUGUAGACAGAAUAAGGUCUGGAUUGCAGAAGAAGCUUCUCUGAGUACAGUGGAGAGCAGUGCUGCCACAGAACUGCAGCAGGAGGAUGUGGACCCAGCAGCAUGAGAUUCCCAGAACCUUCCAGCCUCCACUGACAGGUUGUCACUGUAGUGACAGCCAGGCUGCAGGACUGAGUGGCUUCCUGGUUCUCUGUCCCCGGUGUAAAUGUAGGUAUUGCUGGACUAUGUAGUUCAUGUCACAGAGAUUAAGCUAUAAUAAUAAUGAUACUAUAAAAUAUUAUAUUUUAUGUUAUGGAAUAUAUAUUUCUAUCAUGUAUAGUCACAA
This is a long non-coding RNA of Microtus oregoni (creeping vole), 676 nucleotides long. RefSeq lists it as uncharacterized. Lineage: Eukaryota; Metazoa; Chordata; Mammalia; Rodentia; Cricetidae. The transcript has 3 exons. The record is from RefSeq and is a predicted model, not a curated record.